Molecule: long non-coding RNA, 1454 nt
Filed under: Olea europaea subsp. europaea
Lineage: Eukaryota; Viridiplantae; Streptophyta; Magnoliopsida; Lamiales; Oleaceae
Source: RNAcentral
AUAAUUCUUUCAUUUCUCUUAAAAUAUUCUUCUUUCACUAAUAAAUAUCUAACGAGCCAUAACCCAUAUUUGUUCUAUUCUAAAGAUUGAAAUCAACUUACUAUGUCCAUUUUAUUAGUCGUUUGGACAUAUAUAUAAGAACCAAGAAAAGGAAGAGAGCGUCCCCCCAGGGCAUAUCUCAACUGGUAAAGAUGAGGGCACUUCAAGACUGACAAAUCAAAAGUCGUGAGUUCAAUUCUUGAAAGGCUCUUGGAAGGCAGAUAUUCUUCUGGAAGGCAGGAUUUAUCUCGGAAGACAGGAGCUCUACUGGAAGGCAAUGUGCAAAGAUGAGAAACAACUUGCUUGGCACUUUGACAUAUCAAUUGGGGGGCUCUUGAUCAGUGGUCAGUUUGGGGCACAACCUGCGGUUUAACCUGUCUGCGGCUUGAGGGGCCAAGGUGUAGACUCCAGGAUUUAGUCACUGUAAGGUGGAUACCUGGAUAUCCAAAAAAAAAUAAAAAAAGGAAGAGAGCCGUAGAAAAGGUGUUGUAUAAGUAUAAUCAAUUAUUUAGAUUAAUUUAUUGUUGUAUUUGUUGUGUGGUCCGCCACAUGUAGGGUGGACAAAAUCUAUUUUACUACAAAUGUUAUCAAAUUUUCAAAGAAGAGAAAAUCAAUUUUGCUUCCUCAAUCAAUGGAAAAGUUUGAGAAAAAAUUGAAGUAAAGUUCAAAUCUUCUUUUCCAAUCAAUGAAAAAGUUUGACAAGAAAAUGAAGUUGAGUUCAACUCUUCCAUCCAACAUUUGCUUAUAAACAGGGUGAGAGAUUGUCACUGUCGGACCCACGGUGCGUCUUGGUUGGUAACGUGACCAAUUAUUUUUUUGAUCAGAUUUCAAAAGUUUAAAGCCAAAAUCAGAUUUAUCCUUCAUUCUCCAGUUGCCCUUCGCAAAACGGCAAAACCCGUUCAGCCAUUCCAUUGAAGCAGAAAAACUCUUUAAUCAUUAGCCUUGGAAGCAAAAGAACCCGAUUCAACGGAUGCAUGAUAUGCUUGUUCUGUUUGAAGAUUGUAUAAUGGGUUUGUGUUUAAACAUGAAAUGAUGCUGUUUAUGGGUUUGUUUUAGGGAUCGGAGGUCUGUAUAGGCUAAGUGUAUCUAAUUUGUCUAAAUGAAUUGAUAUGACAUUGUUAUCUUAGUCUGAAACCUUGUUUAUAUGGUUGUUGGGAAAUUGUCAACAUCAAGGGGUUUGGAGAAGAAAACUGAGAAACAAAAUAUCAAGAAGAUAAAAUGAGUAGAGAUUGAAACAAAAUAUAAAGGCUCAAAUAUGAAAUUAAUCUCGCUGUUCUCAAACGAUAUUUGUCCCCUCUCGGAUAUAAUUUUGGGGCUUAAAUGGUUUUAUGGAAAAAUGUUCGUAAGAUUGAUCAAGUCUUGUUAUUGAAAAACACUAAAGCAUAAAUGUUUUUCCAGUCGAAGUUGAAGAACAC